UGGGAAUAUUGCACAAUGGGCGCAAGCCUGAUGCAGCCAUGCCGCGUGUAUGAAGAAGGCCUUCGGGUUGUAAAGUACUUUCAGCAGUGAGGAAGGUGGUGCACUUAAUACCUGCAUCAUUUGACGUUAGCUGCAGAAGAAGCACCGGCUAACUCCGUGCCAGCAGCCGCGGUAAUA
This 177-nucleotide ribosomal RNA is filed under the name uncultured Vibrio sp. RNAcentral describes it as "partial 16S ribosomal RNA". It matches the Rfam family "Bacterial small subunit ribosomal RNA", at positions 356 to 525 of the family's 1533-position model. Lineage: Bacteria; Pseudomonadati; Pseudomonadota; Gammaproteobacteria; Vibrionales; Vibrionaceae. The record is from RNAcentral.